UACGGAGGGAGCGAGCGUUGUUCGGAAUUACUGGGCGUAAAGCGUGCGCAGGCGGAUUUUCAAGUCAGAAGUGAAAUCCCAGGGCUCAACCCUGGAAUUGCUUUUGAAACUGGAUAUCUUGAGUCUCGGAGAGGUUGGCGGAAUUCCCAGUGUAGCAGUGAAAUGCGUAGAUAUUGGGAGGAACACCAGUGGCGUAAGCGGCCAACUGGACGAGUACUGACGCUCAUGCACGAAAGUGUGGGGAUCAAGCAGG
Molecule: ribosomal RNA, 253 nt
Filed under: uncultured bacterium
Lineage: Bacteria
Description: partial 16S ribosomal RNA
Rfam family: Bacterial small subunit ribosomal RNA
Source: RNAcentral